This 148-nucleotide non-coding RNA is filed under the name Chlorocebus sabaeus (green monkey). Lineage: Eukaryota; Metazoa; Chordata; Mammalia; Primates; Cercopithecidae. The record is from Rfam by way of RNAcentral.
GCUGGGCGUGGUGGUGCAUGCCUGUAAUCCCAGCUACUUGGGAGGCUGAGGCAGGAGAAUUGCUUGAGCCCAGGAGGUGGAGAUUGCAGUGAGCCAAGAUUGCACCACUGCACUCCAGCCUGGGUGACAGAGUGAGACUCUGUCUCAA